UUAUGUGAGCGAUUUGUGAAAUUGAAUGGAAUAAGCUUUAGGCUGGCCUGUAGUUUCAGUACAGUAGGAACCUUUUCAUGCUUCUGAAAUCAAAAAAUCUAGAGUGGCUAUAUUAAAUAUUUUAAUCACUGAUUCCAUGUUUAAAGAGGCAUUUCGGGUGGUCUGACCCUUAUUUAUUUCUCACAGGUGUCUUAAAUGAUUAUUCUCAUGGUUGCAGGUGUUACAGGUUCAUUAAAACUGUUAGCGUGUUAAGAGGAAAUGGUGCUUUCAAAGGUCUUUUUUUCUGAAGCACUCCCAGGUUUUGGGUGAGUGACCCCGUCCCCACGUCAUGCUGGAUCAAUACUUCUCUAAGCUUAUCACAAAACUGUUUGACUAAACCCUCUGUAGGUACAUAUAUGGAGGUUAAAGGAGAGUAGAAUGACCAGUCAUGACAUAGACCGGACUUGUUUCUCAUUUUCUUGCAGACUGGAUCACUGGGAGAGACGAUGUGUGUCAUGGAGGGUCAUGUGGAUCAACCAUCUUUACUGAACGGAGUCUGUGGUAAGUUAACAUGUCUGCAAAAAGACUUGAGAAUGGAUAUAUUGUCAAAAAAAAAAAA
Molecule: long non-coding RNA, 598 nt
Organism: Sinocyclocheilus grahami
Lineage: Eukaryota; Metazoa; Chordata; Actinopteri; Cypriniformes; Cyprinidae
Exons: 2
Source: RefSeq, a predicted model, not a curated record